This is a long non-coding RNA of Neofelis nebulosa (Clouded leopard), 2018 nucleotides long. RefSeq lists it as uncharacterized. NCBI's taxonomy places the organism in Eukaryota, Metazoa, Chordata, Mammalia, Carnivora, Felidae. The record is from RefSeq and is a predicted model, not a curated record. The transcript is spliced from 3 exons.
GCCGCGGGAAGGGCGGAGGGCUGCGGGCGGGAGCCCACCCCGCGCGCGGGCCGUCGGAGGGGAGACGCCCCCCCCCCUCACCCCUGCGGAGGGGCGCGUGGGGCGGCUCUGGGCGGGAGCCCCUGAACUCCGCCGCGGCCGCCCCACCCCGGACCCCAGACCCGGCUGGGGCCGUGCGGCUGGCGGUGCGCCGCCCCACCCGCGGCCCGGGGCAGCCCCCGCCUUUCCGGGUGCAAACUCCACCUGUCUGCGCCCCCUCCUAACCGCGUCCUGGGAUGGCUGGAGUGGGCGGUUUAAAAUAAAGACUUCAAUUUUUUUUUUUUUUUUUUAAAGAAACCCAGAAGACAAGCUAAAGAAAUGUGACACGGCUCUUUUUAUUAAGUAGGCAAAAAUAAAUUCUGGAACAUUCGAAAGUAGGAACCAAAAAUGAGCACUAACCUUUUAAUCAAAGUCUCUUCACACCCACCCACCUGACUUAAAUGUGAUUCCCAGUCCUGUCCUUAAAAAGCGAAUACUCAAGUAUGAUAGGAGGGUGGAGCCCGGGAGAUCACCGAUUUACCCAGAGGAAACCCGUCCGGAGGAGGGAGUGACCUGCCUGGGGUCAUUGUUCAUUGAUUGAUUGAUUGCGCACCCACCGGGCCGCCAGGCGCCGAGCUCUUCUGUUCAGAACUUGCAAGGCAACCAGCUCACAGGCUCUUGGCAGAGGCGGAAGCAGAACCUGGGAAGGGGCCAGCUGGGCAGUGCGCCGGCUGCUGGAGGGAUGGCUAUGGAGAACUCUCAUUUACAUACUACCUAUAAAGUGGUUUUCUGCAAACAUUUCUUUCACUCUUCGGAAGAAUCCUGGAUGUUAUCAUCCCCAUACCACAGGGCUCAGCUACAAUGUCCUCUGUUCAGAGACACCUUCCCCGAUCCCCAGCGUAGAGUGAUCUGCUUUCCCGGUCGUGAUGCAACCACCCUGUUUUUGUUUUUUCUUCAUAGUUCUUAUUAGUGUAUGAAAUCAUCUCGAUUGUAUGUUUGUUUAGUCGUUAAACUCAGCCUUCCCCCCACCCCCAACCCCAAGACCUGCAUCCCAGGAGAGACGUCAUCUUGUCCGCAGCGUUCACCGACCCAUCGUGAGACCUGCCGGUUUGUGCGCAAAUGACCGAAUGGCCAUCUGUACCGUAGUCCAAGAGGACAUACGGAGAGAAAACAACCCUGCUCACUCAGGUGAGCAAUUGGGAACAGCGUCUCCAACAGGAACCCUGCACUCUCUACUAUGCCACCCUGCCUGAGACCUUUCUUAAGGCUUCUGAGAAAUGAUCAGCUGAGUUCAAACCAGAAUAACAGUAGUUCCUUGGCUCUUGAGGGCUGUGGUCCGCAGGGAAGGAAAAGAGGCCGGAGGACUCUGGUGUUAAGGCACAAUUGGUAUGGAUGUGCACGAGUCCCACCUCAGGAUUUUCUCAGCAUAAGUCGGCAGUCAUUCAUUUCGCGUCUCCAGCCCCAGGACCCCGGGCUGCCGCUCUUUGACCCCUCCAUGAGGGGGUGGCAGUGAGAGCGGGAACAGGACCAUUCCUCGUGCCCUCUGACCUGGAUGUCCUGGAUGCCAGCAAGGAUUCAGGCCCAUGCCAGCUGGGGCAGUGGUUUUGUGACCACACCCCUGAGUCCGGAAUGCUUUGUGAUGCCGCACAGCACGUGCGUGCCCACUGGCAGAAAGCAGGAGCUGGGCCUCCUUGGCUCUCUGACCUGGGCCUACAGCCCCUCCUGACACCUCUCCUCUCAGCGGCCCUGCAUCCCCUUCAGGAGUGGUAAAUGCUACUCCAGCAUCUGAAGAGUUGAGGUCAAGCCUCUGACACAGCCUCACACUAUGACCUUGAGGAGCCCGCUGACCUCCAUAGGGCUUCCAUUUCCCCGUAUCCGAAACGAUGGGAGAGACAAUGGCCUUGUCCUGCUCAUCUGUCAGUUAUAUUAAGGGCUGAACAAAGUCAGACAUAUGAUGUCCUCUGUAGACUCUAUACACACAUAAAUGUCAAGUCUCGUUA